ACCAGGGUGGCCGAGUGGUUAAGGCGUUGGACUUAAGAUCCAAUGGAGAUAUGCCCGCGUGGGUUCGAACCCCACGCCGGGUA
RNAcentral lists this transfer RNA (83 nucleotides) under Astyanax mexicanus (Mexican tetra). It matches the Rfam family "tRNA". Rfam says of the family: Transfer RNA (tRNA) molecules are approximately 80 nucleotides in length. Lineage: Eukaryota; Metazoa; Chordata; Actinopteri; Characiformes; Acestrorhamphidae. The record is from Rfam by way of RNAcentral.